RNAcentral lists this long non-coding RNA (322 nucleotides) under Monodelphis domestica (gray short-tailed opossum). RNAcentral describes it as "lncRNA (ENSMODG00000043075.1)". Lineage: Eukaryota; Metazoa; Chordata; Mammalia; Didelphimorphia; Didelphidae. The record is from RNAcentral.
ACUGGCACAAAAGAAGAAACCUCUCUGCUAGGAACUGAUAUCCUUUCUACAUAUUCGAGAAAGAAAGCCAAUUAUCCACUUUUCCAGCUAUUGAUCAAAGCAGCUGGGCUUGUACAAACAUGUUUGUUCUUUAAUUAUUACUUUCAGUUUAGAUUUUAAAAGAUUCACCCAAUCAUAAAACGAACUGGUCAGUUAUUCUUCUCCUGCUUGAUUGACAGCCUGGAAUGGGGGAAGUAAAAAUUGCUUAAAUUUUAUAAAUUCAAAUUGGAGUUUGCCAAUUCAAGCUGUCUAGGGGUUUGGAGUAUACAUUUAACAGAGAUGA